Numida meleagris (helmeted guineafowl) is the source of this 2288-nucleotide long non-coding RNA. Ensembl annotates it as flocculation protein FLO11-like. NCBI's taxonomy places the organism in Eukaryota, Metazoa, Chordata, Aves, Galliformes, Numididae. The record is from Ensembl.
AACUAGUCGGAUACUGUCCUCAAGCUGUCCUGUAUUCCUGAUACCUUCAGAUAGAGCACAGAAGUUGCUUUUCUCCCAGCGCUCUUGCUCUCAGGUGUGCAUGAACGUGUUCUCCUGACAGCAGGAAGGGAAAAGUAAGGCAUGAAACAAAACUGGUGAGUAGAAGACAUGAUCUCCUUUUCAGAACCUGCUGUGUUUCAAGAUGGUUCCAGACCAGAGGAGGUUCUCCCAGCUGCCUUCUGGAGCGUGGUUUUUGAAAAGUAUUUGGUAUUGGAGAGUCUUCAGUUGCUGAUGAGUGACUUUCCUGAUGUGAUAACAUUCUUGGUGUCUGAUCCCGGAGAGGUUCUUGGAAAACGUUUCAGAUAACCACGCUUGCUCAGUUUUUACCAGAAGACUUCCCUUUGUGUCAUUAAAUUCUGCUUUGUAUUCUGCUGUAAAGCAGCUGACUGGUGUGUGUUUAUUUAUUUAUUUUGCCCUAGGCCUCUAGAUGGGUUUGGCCUACGUCCUUACUACUGACUGUGCUUGAGAGGCUGACACCGGUCCAUUUUGGAGUCAUACAUCACAUUCUAAGAACCCCCUUUUUAACUCCUGGGAACUAAUUGAGAAAUUAAAUGUUGACUGUUGUCUGGGAGCAAUUCCUGCUGGACUCAGUUUUUCCUGUCAUGCUUUUGCUUGUAUAAAUCAUCAGAUUCUUGUUACAGUUUAGCAUGCACUGCACCUCGAGGAGGCCUCACUGAGACCUGCCGCAGCCUCUGUGCACAAACACCCCCUCUUUUGGGGGGUUGGCUGAUCCGGCUGAGCCUCAUGAUCACAGUCAGGUGACGAGCACAAAGCGGCGCGGGAUAAGCAGCUCAGCGUGAGAGAUCAGCUGCUGGCCUGGCCCCUCUGCGAGCUGUUAGUGCUCAGGGAAAAUGAGCACCUGGACCCCUCCUCUGCUUUGGAGCUUGACCACAGCGUGUCUGACAGGUAUUGCUUUAGGCCAGACAGCUACCACCCAGGCCCCUGUUGCAUCAACCCCACUACUUCUGAGUGCCACCACCACCCAAGUCCCUGUUGCACCAACCCCAAUGUCUUCUAGUGCCUCCGCAACCUCAGCCCCCACAUCCCCAUCUGCUGUUGGGACACUCUCAGCUGGAACAGUGACAAACCUCACGACCCCUACAGUUGUGCCAUCUGCUGUCCCAAGCACAAACCCUCCCGCUCCAGCUCUGCCCACCACCCCACAAAUCACUAUGCUCACCUCUGGGAUUGCGACCACAGCUCAUGGACCCACAGCACCGAUGGCCACAUCCCACAGUGCCUGGGUCACCUCUCCAGAUAUGACCGCAUCUCCUGGGGUCCCGUCAGUGGUCCCAUCCCUCACCACCACUGAGCCCUCGAACUGCAGCAGAGUGAACGUGACAGCGUGUGCUCCUUGCUCCCCGGGGACCGUUCCCAGCAAUGACACCUGGAGCUGCUCGUGCUGUGCAGAGGGCUCAUGCAUGGACCCCGGUGCCUGUGCUCCUUGCCCAGCAGGGCACUACCAGCCUGCGAGGGGACAGCAGCAGUGCCUGCCAUGUCCAAAGGGACGUUAUGCCAACACUACGAGGAGCACUGCGUGCUCACCCUGCCCACCUGGCCACUACGCCAACGAGUCGGGGGCCACAGCCUGCAGCGCGUGCCAGGAAGGUUAUUUUAGCUCACAUCAAAAUGCAGCUUUUUGUCUGCCUUGCCUGCCUGGAUCGUUCUGCAACACCAGCAGCUGCACGGUGUGUCUGGCCUGUCCUGCUGGGCGUGAGGCUCCACGUGAGGCUGCUGAGGAGUGUAUGCUGUGCGGAGCAGGUAUGUUCAAAGGUCCGGGUGAUGACGCCUGCAAGCCCUGUGAGCCAGGGGAAUACCAACUGCAGCGGGGCCAGGAGAGCUGUGACCCGUGCCCAGAGAACCACUACUGCCCCAGCCCAGAUGUGAACCCAAUAAAGUGCCCUCCUGAUGCCUUCUGCCCCGCGGGCAGCACCGCACCCCAGUACUGCAUGGAGAUCUUCCUGUACAAGGUGGGCAGCUCCUGCCAGCUGACACCACUGGUGAUCAUCUUCCUGGCCCUCUUCUCGGCAGGUGCAAUUCUUAUAAUCUUUGUACUAAUUCUGAGGAGGAGGCAAGACUAUAGCACGAGGUCUUUGAAGUCCCUGCUGCUACCAAGAGGAUCAGGGCGGCACACAACGUAUGGAGUGAUGGAGCACACAGAGCCGGUGUAUGCUGGCUGGUAGUGGGGGAAAUGCUACCAGCAAGCACUGUGUUCCCUUUUCUACAGG